UCGAGCGAGAGCUUGCGGGUAGCAAUAUCUUCAAGUUCUAGCGGCGAAAGGGUGCGUAACACGUGGGUAAUCUACCGUGAAGUUCGGAAUAACUUGCCGAAAGGGAAGCUAAUGCCGGAUGUGAUCGCGACGGGACAUCCCGUCGAGAUUAAAGCUGGGGAUCCUUCGGGACCUGGCGUUUCACGAUGAACCCGCGGCCUAUCAGCUUGUUGGUGAGGUAACGGCUCACCAAGGCGACGACGGGUAGCUGGUCUGAGAGGACGAUCAGCCACACUGGAACUGAGACACGGUCCAGACACCUACGGGUGGCAGCAGUCGAGAAUCUUUCACAAUGGGCAAAAGCCUGAUGGAGCGACGCCGCGUGGGGGAAGAAUGGCUUCGGCCCGUAAACCCCUGUCAUUCGCGAGCAAUGCUUACGUCUUAAUAGGAUGUAAGUUGAUAGUAGCGAAAGAGGAAGGGACGGCUAACUCUGUGCCAGCAGCCGCGGUAAUACAGAGGUCCCAAGCGUUGUUCGGAUUCACUGGGCGUAAAGCGUGCGUAGGUGGCCAGAUAAGUUCGGUGUGAAAGCUCCGGGCUCAACUCGGAAAGGUCAUCGAAAACUAUUUGGCUGGAGGAUUGGAUGGGAGACUGGAAUUCUCGGUGUAGCAGUGAAAUGCGUAGAUAUCGAGAGGAACAUCAGUGGCGAAGGCGAGUCUCUGGACAAUUCCUGACACUGAGGCACGAAAGCUAGGGGAGCAAACAGGAUUAGAUACCCUGGUAGUCCUAGCCGUAAACGGUGCACACUUGCUGUGGGCGGAAUCGACCCCGUCCGUGGCGUAGCUAACGCGUUAAGUGUGCCGCCUGGGGAGUACGGUCGCAAGACUAAAACUCAAAGAAAUUGACGGGGGCCUGCACAAGCGGUGGAGUAUGUGGCUUAAUUCGAUUCAACGCGAAGAACCUUACCUGGCCUUGACAUGCAAGUGGUAAAAGCCUGAAAGGGUGAUGACCCCGCAAGGGGAGCUUGCACAGGUGCUGCAUGGCUGUCCUCAGCUCGUGUCGUGAGAUGUUGGGUUAAGUCCCGCAACGAGCGCAACCCCUGUGUCCUGUUGCCACUUCCGCUAGCGCGGAAAGCACUCUGGACAGACUGCCUCGCUUAAACGAGGAGGAAGGUGGGGAUGACGUCAAGUCAGUAUGGCCCUUACGGCCAGGGCUGCACACGUACU
Molecule: ribosomal RNA, 1202 nt
Filed under: metagenome
Description: bacterial SSU rRNA
Rfam family: Bacterial small subunit ribosomal RNA
Source: RNAcentral